This 274-nucleotide ribosomal RNA is filed under the name uncultured bacterium. Its description in RNAcentral is "partial 16S ribosomal RNA". It matches the Rfam family "Bacterial small subunit ribosomal RNA", at positions 523 to 796 of the family's 1533-position model. The record is from RNAcentral.
AUACGGAGGGUGCAAGCGUUAUUCGGAAUCACUGGGCGUAAAGGACGCGUAGGCGGGUUGGCAAGUCAGAUGUGAAAUCCUACAGCUUAACUGUAGAACUGCAUUUGAAACUGCUAACCUAGAGUAUGAGAGGGGGAGAUGGAAUUAGUGGUGUAGGGGUAAAAUCCGUAGAUAUCACUAGGAAUACCGAAAGCGAAGGCGAUUUCCUGGAACAUAACUGACGCUAAGGCGUGAAAGCGUGGGGAGCAAACAGAAUUAGAUACCCUAGUAGUCC